GAUGAACGCUGGCGGCGUGCUUAACACAUGCAAGUCGAACGGUGAACACGGAGCUUGCUCUGUGGGAUCAGUGGCGAACGGGUGAGUAACACGUGAGCAACCUGCCCCUGACUCUGGGAUAAGCGCUGGAAACGGCGUCUAAUACUGGAUAUGUGACGUGACCGCAUGGUCUGCGUUUGGAAAGAUUUUUCGGUUGGGGAUGGGCUCGCGGCCUAUCAGCUUGUUGGUGAGGUAAUGGCUCACCAAGGCGUCGACGGGUAGCCGGCCUGAGAGGGUGACCGGCCACACUGGGAUUGAGACACGGCCCAGACUCCUACGGGAGGCAGCGGUGGGGAAUAUUGCACAAUGGGCGAAAGCCUGAUGCAGCAACGCCGCGUGAGGGAUGACGGCCUUCGGGUUGUAAACCUUUUUUAGCAGGGAAGAAGCGAAAGUGACGGUACCUGCAGAAAAAGCGCCGGCUAACUACGUG
Molecule: ribosomal RNA, 469 nt
Filed under: uncultured bacterium
Lineage: Bacteria
Description: partial 16S ribosomal RNA
Rfam family: Bacterial small subunit ribosomal RNA
Source: RNAcentral